CCCUUAGAUGUCCUGGGCCGCACGCGCGCUACACUGAUGCAUUCAACGAGUAUUUCCUUGGCCGAGAGGCCUGGGCAAUCUUUUAAACCUGCAUCGUGAUAGGGAUAGAUUAUUGCAAUUAUUAAUCUUGAACGAGGAAUUCCCAGUAAACGCAAAUCAUCAAUUUGCAUUGAUUACGUCCCUGCCCUUUGUACACACCGCCCGUCGCACCUACCGAUUGAAUGGUCCGGUGAAAUCUCGGGAUUGUGGCCAGUUCACUUUAUUGGGAGUUGGCUGCGAGAACUUGCUUAAACCUUAUCAUUUAGAGGAAGGUGAAGUCGUAACA
This 325-nucleotide ribosomal RNA is filed under the name uncultured eukaryote. Its description in RNAcentral is "partial 18S ribosomal RNA". It matches the Rfam family "Eukaryotic small subunit ribosomal RNA", at positions 1470 to 1796 of the family's 1831-position model. The record is from RNAcentral.